RNAcentral lists this ribosomal RNA (253 nucleotides) under uncultured bacterium. RNAcentral's name for it is "partial 16S ribosomal RNA". It matches the Rfam family "Bacterial small subunit ribosomal RNA", at positions 524 to 776 of the family's 1533-position model. The record is from RNAcentral.
UACGUAGGAUCCAAGCGUUGUCCGGAUUUACUGGGUGUAAAGGGUGCGCAGGCGGAUUAGUAAGUCAGAGGUGAAAUCUCGUCGCUCAACGACGAAACUGCCUUUGAUACUAUUAAUCUUGAGUACGGUAGAGAUUUGUGGAAUUCCGAGUGUAGCAGUGAAAUGUGUAGAUAUUCGGAAGAACACCAGAGGCGAAGGCAGCAAAUUGGGCCGAUACUGACGCUCAGGCACGAAAGCAUGGGGAUCAAACAGG